RNAcentral lists this long non-coding RNA (639 nucleotides) under Bos taurus (domestic cattle). Its description in RNAcentral is "long non-coding RNA NONBTAT024922". The record is from RNAcentral. Lineage: Eukaryota; Metazoa; Chordata; Mammalia; Artiodactyla; Bovidae.
GAAAUUUCUCCAGUCACAUUUUCUUUGGGGGGGGGGGGUGGAAAGGGAAGGGCUUCGAGAACCUUGCAAUUAUAAACAAGUGCUUUUAUCUCAAAACUAGCUAUUUUUAAAAUUCUAAAAAUUUCCAACAGUCAUCAAUAUUUGUAGUAUCUUUUCAAUUAUCUGGAAAAGCCAAUAAAACUUUGGCUCUCUUUUCAAACAUACAGCUAAUCUAAUAUGAAAAAGCUGCAUGAUUAUAAAAAGAAUGCUUACCUUGUGGUACUAGCUGUGGGACAGCUGGUAGCAAUUUAGUGCAGCUACUGGCUUAUUCAUUUGUUCUUUUCUCUUUUAUUAAGAACAAAAGCAAACACCUUUAAUCAGUUGGAAACCAGAUGAAACCACCAUGAAAUGCUGAGGGAUGGGGUCUGUUUUGUUGAUAAGAACACUCUCUGCCUAUGGUGGGUGAAGCACUGGAUGGGAGAGGGAGUUGUGUGCUCCUGCUGCAUUACCCCAGGCCUCACAAUUGUGGAGAACAUUGCAAGGGACCCAAUAGUGUGACUAUGAGACAUGACAGAGAAUGUGAAACAUGAUGGUGUAUUCAAUUAGCUAUGGUUAUUAUGAAACAGAGUCCAAAGUUUUAUUUUCUCUGUAAUAAUGUGA